GGACGAAUGGUCGGCAUUUUUUCGUACCAACUCAUGACGUCAGAGGGGCAACCCAGUAUCAGCCAAUGGAUACGCCGUAAUUGGUGGACCACAAUAGUGCAUACAUCACUGGAUAACUACACGCUUUAACGGGAUACCCUAAGUACAUGUAUCAUGGCCGUGUGUUUUGUAUAUAAUGUUUAUUCAUCAGAAAUAUACAUUCAUCCAUGGAAUAUUUAGUUAAUACCGGUGUACACCGUGUUACUACCAUACCCAGCUCUUUUGAGGACAUUCAGUUUAUAGAAUUUGGCAGUUCCUGUUGGAGCGUUGCUAGUAGCUUCGUGAAGUGUUAGAUGUUCUCGCAACAACUGACUGUCAUAAUAAUGUUUCAGUUGUGUACUUUGGAAAGGAUAUCGAAGAUUUUGUGGACAGUCUCAAGGACAAGUAUCCAUAUACAUUCAGUGGCAUACACAUCACUGUAAAUGGCUUCCCUACGCAGGCCAAAGGGAAAAGAAAACCGCCAUGUGAUUAUACAAGAUUAGUGACUUAUUUGAAUUGUAUCAAAACCAAUGGAUGUACUGCAACGACAGAUGACAGGGAGUUGCUAGCAUGUGUGCUUUCAAACUGCGUCAAUCAACUUCAAAAUAUAUUUCAGAAAGACAGUCAGGAAUGCCUGACUUGUAUGGCUAUGUCUACGGCUAAUAUCAUGGAGUAAGUUAUAAUACCACCCAAAACUGCAUGUCAAGUCUACCUAUAAGAAGCGCAACGAAUCUGAUUAGUACAAAUUAGUUUUAAAAAAUCAAGUACAUGUCAUACAUAUCUUUAUAUA
Long non-coding RNA from Mercenaria mercenaria, 808 nucleotides. RefSeq lists it as uncharacterized. The record is from RefSeq and is a predicted model, not a curated record. The transcript has 3 exons. NCBI's taxonomy places the organism in Eukaryota, Metazoa, Mollusca, Bivalvia, Venerida, Veneridae.